RNAcentral lists this ribosomal RNA (468 nucleotides) under uncultured bacterium. RNAcentral describes it as "partial 16S ribosomal RNA". It matches the Rfam family "Bacterial small subunit ribosomal RNA", at positions 28 to 507 of the family's 1533-position model. The record is from RNAcentral.
GACGAACGCUGGCGGCGUGCUUAACACAUGCAAGUCGAACGGAAAGGCCCUGCUUUUGUGGGGUGCUCGAGUGGCGAAAGGGUGAGUAACACGUGAGUAACCUGCCCUUGACUUUGGGAUAACUUCAGGAAACUGGGGCUAAUACCGGAUAGGAGCUCCUGCUGCAUGGUGGGGGUUGGAAAGUUUCGGCGGUUGGGGAUGGACUCGCGGCUUAUCAGCUUGUUGGUGGGGUAGUGGCUUACCAAGGCUUUGACGGGUAGCCGGCCUGAGAGGGUGACCGGCCACAUUGGGACUGAGAUACGGCCCAGACUCCUACGGGAGGCAGCAGUGGGGAAUAUUGCACAAUGGGCGGAAGCCUGAUGCAGCAACGCCGCGUGCGGGACGACGGCCUUCGGGUUGUAAACCGCUUUCGCCUGUGACGAAGCGUGAGUGACGGUAAUGGGUAAAGAAGCACCGGCUAACUACGUG